RNAcentral lists this ribosomal RNA (465 nucleotides) under uncultured bacterium. RNAcentral's name for it is "bacterial SSU rRNA". It matches the Rfam family "Bacterial small subunit ribosomal RNA", at positions 338 to 795 of the family's 1533-position model. The record is from RNAcentral.
CCUACNGGCUGCACCAGUGGGGAAUAUUGCACAAUGGGCGCAAGCCUGAUGCAGCCAUGCCGCGUGUAUGAAGAAGGCCUUCGGGUUGUAAAGUACUUUCAGCGGGGANGAAGGUGUUGANNUUANUAACCUCAGCAAUUGACGUUACCCGCAGAAGAAGCACCGGCUAACUCCGUGCCAGCAGCCGCGGUAAUACGGAGGGUGCAAGCGUUAAUCGGAAUUACUGGGCGUAAAGCGCACGCAGGCGGUCUGUCAAGUCGGAUGUGAAAUCCCCGGGCUCAACCUGGGAACUGAAUUCGAGACUGGCAGGCUAGAGUCUUGUAGAGGGGGGUAGAAUUCCAGGUGUAGCGGUGAAAUGCGUAGAGAUCUGGAGGAAUACCGGUGGCGAAGGCGGCCCCCUGGACAAAGACUGACGCUCAGGUGCGAAAGCGUGGGGAGCAAACAGGAUUAGAUACCCGAGUAGUC